This 699-nucleotide ribosomal RNA is filed under the name uncultured archaeon. RNAcentral's name for it is "bacterial SSU rRNA". It matches the Rfam family "Archaeal small subunit ribosomal RNA", at positions 102 to 801 of the family's 1478-position model. The record is from RNAcentral.
GGAUAACCUACCCUUAGGACUGGGAUAACCUUGGGAAACUGAGGCUAAUACCGGAUAGGCAAUUUUUCCUGUAAUGGUUUUUUGUUUAAAUGUUUUUUCGCCUAAGGAUGGGUCUGCGGCCGAUUAGGUAGUUGGUUAGGUAAUGGCUUACCAAGCCGUUGAUCGGUACGGGUUGUGAGAGCAAGAGCCCGGAGAUGGAACCUGAGACAAGGUUCCAGGCCCUACGGGGUGCAGCAGGCGCGAAACCUCCGCAAUGUGAGAAAUCGCGACGGGGGGAUCCCAAGUGCCAUUCUUAACGGGAUGGCUUUUCAUUAGUGUAAAGAGCUUUUGGAAUAAGGGCUGGGCAAGACCGGUGCCAGCCGCCGCGGUAACACCGGCAGCUCUAGUGGUAGCAGUUUUUAUUGGGCCUAAAGCGUCCGUAGCCGGUUUAAUGAGUCUCUGGUGAAAUCCUGUAGCUUAACUGUGGGAAUUGCUGGAGAUACUAUUAGACUUGAGACCGGGAGAGGUUAGAGGUACUCCCAGGGUAGAGGUGAAAUUCUGUAAUCCUGGGAGGACCGCCUGUUGCGAAGGCGUCUAACUGGAACGGUUCUGACGGUGAGGGACGAAAGUUAGGGGCGCGAACCGGAUUAGAUACCCGGGUAGUCCUAACCGUAAACGAUGCGGACUUGGUGUUGGGGUGGCUUUGAGCUGCUCCAGUGC